This is a small nucleolar RNA of Ictidomys tridecemlineatus (thirteen-lined ground squirrel), 133 nucleotides long. Lineage: Eukaryota; Metazoa; Chordata; Mammalia; Rodentia; Sciuridae. The record is from Ensembl.
UUCCAAAGUGUUGAGUUCAGUUCAGGGCAGCUUCCCUGUUCUGUUAAUUAAACUUUGGAACAUUAAAAUUGACUAGGGGAGAUGAUCAGAUAGAAAAUAUUAAUCUAUUUUAUUUACUUUCUGGUCUACAAAA